This is a small nucleolar RNA of Magnolia sinica, 107 nucleotides long. Lineage: Eukaryota; Viridiplantae; Streptophyta; Magnoliopsida; Magnoliales; Magnoliaceae. The record is from RefSeq and is a predicted model, not a curated record.
UAGCCAUAAUGUGGGCAAGCACUUAAGAGAUCCUUGAACCUUUCUCAGCAUUGGAAGAAGGUUUCUUCCUUUUUCUAUGAGAAGUUCAUAAUGUCCCUUCUAAGGGU